Glossina fuscipes is the source of this 6598-nucleotide long non-coding RNA. RefSeq lists it as uncharacterized. The record is from RefSeq and is a predicted model, not a curated record. Lineage: Eukaryota; Metazoa; Arthropoda; Insecta; Diptera; Glossinidae. The transcript has 7 exons.
CCGCACAUUCAUGCUUACGUGAGCCAUUCGAAUUAGUUCUGUUUGUGUUUUUUUCACUUAAGUAAUAAUAUUUUUUCACUUUUCACUUUUAACACUAAUAUUUUUUCCUGUUAAAACGAAGGCGAGAAUAAAAAGAGAAUGAGAAAAUGGAAACGAAUGAAACAAUUUUUUAAUUAAACAAUCGAAAAUUGUAAUGGUUGAAAACACGACUGAUAUGUGUGCAUGAAUUUUAAACAUCAGCUACUAAUGGCAUGCGUAUGUAUGCAUGUAACUGAGGAAGAGACAACUUAUAACAACACUAAAACUAAUUUAACACGAGUUGAAAAAGUUAACAUUAAUUUUGUGUUUCCUUGAGAACCCCGGGCUACUAGGCUGCGAACACAAGGCGUUGACGUAAAUACUGGACAACUUCCCUGUGGUUGCGAUUUUAUGACUUUUUACUGGAAAUUAUUUUUUAACAUGCGUCGAAUUGGUUAACCAUUUAAUAAAUAAAAGACCGUGAUAUAUGAUGAAAGUAAUUCCGAUUUAUUGUCUGUCUAUAGAACUGUGUAUUGUCUGUUUAGAAUAUUCUGACAUGUGGCCGGUACUGUCUGGAGUAUUAAAGGAAUCAAAGUAAGGUGAAACUUCAAUAUUGAACACAGCUAACAUGAUACCCAUACACACGAGCAAUAUGGCAACGCCAUUAUGUUAUUCAUUCUUGGUAUUCCAGAUUUUCAACUCACAGAUAAUUUUCUUUUUAAUUUUAAUAAUGAUUUUAAGUGUUAAAGAGAAAGUGAAAGAGAAGCCGUCGUUGGUAAAAAUUAGUAAAGAAACACCCUAAAUUGGUAACAUUAUGGUAACGAGCGUAGAAUUCGUAGAUUACUAAUCGUAAGCAUUUUAAGAGGGUGGCAACCAUGGCGCCAACAAAAAAAGCAACAGAUCUGCAAUCUGACGAAGUGUUGAAACUGUCAGCAGAUCACCUAGCUCUAAAGAGGAAUGUGUUGGUCGUCCAACCCAAUCGACAUACCGGAGUGAAUGGCGAUCACGGGCGAACUUUGUAGCAGUACUUCUCACCAGAAAAAAUUCCCCAAUCAGGUUCAUCUAAAUUUGAAGAAAUCGUGUCACAUGCCCUGACCUUUCAUGCGUCGAAGUUUGAGGGAAAAAAGUUAUCGCAAGCUACAACAAGUUCAUCUUGAGCAACUACCAACAAAAUUUUUAAUAAGAGGAAGUAGUAUAUACCUAAGGUCCAUCGAAACUAAAAGUUAAUGACAAACAAUUGAGUAUCGCUGCUUUAUGUUCACCAUAAUUGAAAGUUUGGCGGCCCUAAUAUAUUGAAGAAUAAGUAAGAUUCGCUUACUCCUUGUUGAAGAAGGUCGGCGGAACGUUUUGAGAUGGUUUGAGCAAUUUCUGGUUGUGAAGAUAAAAACCUACGAUUUUACAUGGGUCGCAAGGCGUAUAACGUUUUGGGCAGUACAAAGACUUUGUUAACACAUGUGUGAUCGCUACAAGCCAAAACCAUUCUUCCAUUUGCGGUAGGAAGAAGGAAAAUUGGUAAAAAACGUUAGUGUAACAUUGCGCAAGUUGUCCAUUAAGUGCAAUUUUGGGACCUACCUGAACAUGGAUCUACGAAAUCAAUUUAUGUUUGGACCCGAAGAGCCACUUGCCUAAAUUCAAUUGCGCAAGUCUACCCCAGAAUUGAUAAGUUAUUGUAAAGCGAGAGUAAAACUCAUACAUGUUCAAGUGAUGUAGUGCGGUCUGACAGGGUGUGAUUGGUUGUCAAUCUUGAAAUUAAAUUGGAAUGAGAUUUUUAAGGACUAUAAUACAUUGCAUGUAGCGAUUUCAACAAACAUUCAAGGACAGCUAUCGAGACUAACUGCAAAACACAAAAAUGUUUUUGAGAAAUCUGGUGAUAAAAUGAAAGAUAAACAAGACAUAAAUAAAGCUAGAAGUAACUCUACACUACUGUUCUUAAAACCUCAACAAAUGCCAUUUACACCCAAAUCAGCUGUUAAAGAUUGACUUGCGUGCGAUGCUAUGGGACAGGUGUUGUGUUGUCUCAUAUAAUUUAUGAUAAGGUAGUUGGCUCCGGCAAAACACAAUUAUCCAAAGCUUGACAACCGUUGUACGCUGUUCCACGUAUUCGCGACCAUGGAAGACCCUUCAACCUCGUUAUGGACCACCAGCCAUUACCCCGGGUUUUUCACGAAAAUUUCAAGCUACUGCAAAUGACGUCAUCAAGAUUUCGCAAUUGCGUAGUUGCCACAAAAAAAAACAAAAAAGUACACGCUAUCUGCGGAUUACGUUUCUUUUAUAGCUGGCAGUCUCUUAACUAGACAAAGCAAAAAAUAAACUAUUAUUGCGCUGAACAGUACUAAGGACGAAUUUGUUUCUCUAUCUGAAGCAUCAAGUGAAACAGUUUAUUUAAACAAGAGGCACACAUCGAAGAUGACAAUAAUCCGCUUAUAAUAAAUAUUGACAAUUUAGCUGCUCAAAGCAUUGCGAAAAAUCCAGUCCUAUAUGGUCGAAGCAAACGUAUGACGUACAAUAUAUAUGUAUUAGAGAAGUCGUAAAAACGAAAGUAAUCGAAUUGAAAUACGUUUACACACAUUCUAACGUUGCGGACGGAUUAACCUGAGUAAAGUUAACCAAGAUUAAUUUACAAAAGUUUUAGGAGUACAACCAACUGGUUAUUUUGUUUGAAAACUAUUAUGGUAACAAUUUUAAAGAAGUGUUAGGAAAUGCAACUUGGCACAUUUAUAUUUUCCACAUCGUUUCACAACAUUAUUUAGCUAACAUUUUCAUGUAUCUUUUACUUUCUGUUUAUAGUGUUUUGCUUUACUCUUCCACUCGAAAUAAUGACUUAAAACUAACAAUCUCCCCUUGGCACAAAACACAGUUUUUGUAUAGAUAAUAGCAGACAAAGUCAAUGGUUAUAGAUAAUUCCUCCGUUGCAUGAAUAAGCAUAGAUAUCUUUAAAUGCCUGCUAUCAUAUUUUCUUCAUAUUUAAAUCGGCGCCCUGGGAAAAUACCCAAAUAAUAUAACUUCCCAGUAAGAAGUUAGUUACCAACAUAAAUCAGAAAUUUAACAGUAGGUAUAGUUGAUAGUUAAGAAUACACAUACGCAUACAGAAACGCACUAGAUAAUUGUAAAUCCAACAAUCGGUUUCUACUGUCAAGCCAGGGAAAGUUACGGGAACCAUCAACGGUGUGAUAUGAAGAGAAACUUGUGAUGUGAACUAAGUUGGGAUAAGCUAUCACUAAUGCAUACAAUAGCUACAAUCAAAGCUCAGUGGCGGUGUGGUAGUAAGUCAGCUGAGAACUAUGAAGCAACGAAUGCUUGCAAAAACUGCCGCGGAUGUAAGUUGAAAUAACUAUCAUCCGCCUGUCUUCCCGCCCUGUUAUUACCCAUUCUCUUGUCCAGAACAGGGCCGGUAUUUGACCCAAACUAUGACAAUAGAUAGACUCAAAUUUCAUAGCCACGGACUAAAAGCAUGGUUACAGAGCCUCAUAUGUCACAACAAGUAGAUUGUUUCACAAUAUAUUAUAAACUGGCCAGGGUUUAUACAGCGACCUAACUGUCUUCAUUGUCAAAGGCCGUCUCUUUCAAAGUCGGCAUUGAAAAUAUGUAUCGACGAAUUCGAAUGUACUCUCCGCAUACAAGAUUCCAAAGAUCUAAUUUUUGCCACAAACCCGAAACGGAGCGGUGAGACCAUGAGCUCCUAACAGCUACGCUCGGCAUAAACUGGGCACAAUAUUUAGUAAUCCAUAGACUAGAUACUUAUAAACUCUCACUAUUGCUCCCGAUCUCAUUACUCUCUUGGCAAGUUUGCGAGGUAUUUGUUAUAUCUUACGGCUUGCUCGCUUUCCCUUACGUAAACGGAACGCGAAUGAUACCAUCCUAUUGCAAAAUAUUCCUCACAAUAAUGUGGCCAAGCAAGUAGCUCUCAUUAAUUUCAUUGAUAUACAUGGAGCCGCCGAUAAUAUGUCAUACGUGACCAUAGAAUGAGCACUGAAAAACAAAAAUAUUCCAAACUUAGUUAUCAACUGGAUAAUCAUUAUGGUGAACUCUAGGCUCAUUACCUCGGAGAUAGCAAAGACGUCCUUGACUAUCAGGGACAAUAGAUGGUCCGCUUAAGGGAGCGUACUCUUUCCUCUAAUUUGGACCGCAGCCAAAGAUAAGCUGCUGGUGAAACUAAUAAACGACUUCCGUUUACUUCAUGUCAUCCUUAAUUAUUAAAUGAGGUGAAAUACUUGGAUGUCCAUUUGGAGAAAAGUUUAACCUGGAACCUUCAUUUAAAUCGUUUAACUGAAAACGCGGCCAGAGCACUCUUCUCCUGUCAACACCCAUAUGCCAAAAAUGGAGCAUAAGCCCAAAAAUGAUCCAUUGGUCUUACACCAUCAUAAUACUUCCUAUGCCAACCUAUGCAUCUUUCGCCCAGUGGCCUAAAAUAACGUAAGAAACGACGGCAACGACACUAAACCAAACUCAGCGUUUCGUUUCCAUUGACAUAACCAGCACGAUGAGAUCUUGCAUCUUAGAAGCGCUGCUGGGCACAAUAAUAACAUAAAAGAGACUUACCUAAGCGCACUUAGAAUGUCUAAUAUCGACGACCUAAGCCCAGCAAAUUUCAGCGACCGACUGGAGAUAGUGAAAAAUUUCAUAUACGCUAUUACCGGUUCCGUAUCAACCACAUCGGGUCGGGACGGGCCAGGUUUUGGACCCACGGUGGAAGACAAAAAAUAGUAUAUCGAUGGUUCAAAAUCGGAAAAUGGCAAAACGGGCUGGGAUACGUGGCCCGAGUUCGCAAAAAUUUAUCCCAAUGGGGGAUAUAAUCCCUUCAUAUUCCAAGCAGGUCUAUGCAAUUUUUUCAUAUUUUCGACAGUCAAACCGCCAUAAAGGCUUUAAAUGGGCAUACGAUAACAUCUAACCUUGUAUUGGAGUGCCUUCAAAUUUUGAAUGAGUUAGGCAAGCCCAAAGACGCGCAUCUAACAUAGACGCCUGGUCAUUCGGGUAUUGAGCCCAACGAAUGGGCUGACUGUCUAGUGCAUAGUCUAGCUGACAGCGGGACUCGAUGGACAAUGCUAAGUGCUAAACCUUUCGGUGGUGUACCAAGAAUCAAUAUUAGUAUUCUGCCAUCGCAACGGGCACAGAAAAAUUCGGAUUGCCAUUUGAAGCAAUGUGCAGAACAAGGGCAAGUAAAAAGAUUCAUCAAAUAUUCCGGCAUAGCACGUGAGCUACUGGAGCUAAGAACGAACGAACUACAUUUGGUCACAGGCUUCUACACGGUUCAUAGUUCCCUCAAGUACCACCUGAAAAAAAUGGGUAUCUCCGACACAAAUUUAUGCAGAUUCUGCUAUCACAUUCUAUGUGAAUGUAAGGCUAUCUGCAGAAUUAAAUCUCAUGUGUUUUGCGAGCAUUUUAUAUCGCCGGACACGAUAUAGUGCUCCGAAUCAAAAAAAGGUAGCGGGAAUCAAGAAUCUUUAAACUGGAAGGCUAGGGGCACUGGCGAGUGCAAUAGAUCACACAAUUAAUAAUAAUAAUAAAUUUUUAUCGUUUUCCUAAAAAGAGCAACGUGGUACAGAAUCCAUGGCCAAAUUAAUCGAUUCGUUGAAACCACCAUUAAAUCUUUUUGGGUACCCUUUAUUUUUUGGACAGAUUCAACAAACGUAUUCUCGUGCUAAUGGAAACUAGUCGCUUGUUAAUUCGAGAUACAACUCUGCCCACGUCGCCACACGAGAACUCACGGCCAAUGGCAUAUACCAUGACGGGGCUCCUCAAUGCUAAAGCAACCCCCUUUGGAAUGACAUGAUAUCCUCGAACACUUUUCUGUUUUUUCGAGCGUGUUAAUGAUGAUGUCGUGCAUCUGCCGAUUUAUUGGAGUCAUGUACCCGGAGAGAUGGCAACAACUCGGAUAUUACGAAUUAAAAUCCGUUAAAACUCGUUUAAUCAUUCCAUGCCAAAGAGUUUAUUACUCAGGAUAUGAAGUAUUAUCUCGAAAAUUAGAACUGCGAAAUUAGCGUUUUUAACCCUUUCAUUGACUGGAAAACGAUAAUGUGUGUUGAUAAUCGAUUAGACUAACCCACUUCUUUGACUUAUAACGAACGUUUUCCAAAAAGUUUGCCUUGUGGAGCUUAUUUCACCCGACUUCUGAUUGGAAAUAUUCAUAUUUGCUGCCUGCAGGGAACUAUUUCUUCUAUAAUGCGUUUCCUCCGAUCCAAAUUUUGGGUACUAAAAGUUGUGACGUUCGCGUAUGUAAGGUAGAAAAAUCGACUAAUAACAGUGGGAGAGAGAUUUUUAAAAAAAGAAAGAGAGUUCGAAGUUUGCCGUAAAUUAUAACGUUGGGUAUCAUUUGAGUCGAGAAAAGAUGAAGAAGUCAGCCUGCUUUAAACGUCUAAACACAGAACAAGUGAUUGAUUGUGUAAAAAACAGCCGAAAUUUCGACUGUAUAGUACCUUACGAAGCUUAUGGGAACAACUGUAAAGUAGUACAUCACCUAUGUAACAAGCAUAAGCAUCACUUAAAAAAAAAAGAGCGCUCAUUUUACGUUUCUGGAUUAUGGGUCUAAAUUGAAUCAUACAAGCCUAAUCCAUAUCCAAACAAACAAAAAAAAAAUAACUAC